RNAcentral lists this ribosomal RNA (205 nucleotides) under uncultured bacterium. RNAcentral's name for it is "partial 16S ribosomal RNA". It matches the Rfam family "Bacterial small subunit ribosomal RNA", at positions 1288 to 1500 of the family's 1533-position model. The record is from RNAcentral.
CCAGUUCGGACUGGAGUCUGCAACCCGACUCCACGAAGUUGGAUUCGCUAGUAAUCGCGCAUCAGCCAUGGCGCGGUGAAUACGUUCCCGGGCCUUGUACACACCGCCCGUCAAGCCAUGGGAGCCGGGGGCGCCUGAAGUCCGGGACCGCGAGGACCGGCCUAGGGCGAAACUGGUAACUGGGGCUAAGUCGUAACAAGGUACC